This 494-nucleotide ribosomal RNA is filed under the name uncultured bacterium. Its description in RNAcentral is "partial 16S ribosomal RNA". It matches the Rfam family "Bacterial small subunit ribosomal RNA", at positions 28 to 507 of the family's 1533-position model. The record is from RNAcentral.
GACGAACGCUGGCGGCGUGCUUAACACAUGCAAGUCGAACGGUGAAGCGCCUUCCUUUUUGGUGGGUGUGGAUGAGUGGCGAACGGGUGAGUAACACGUGAGUAACCUGCCCCCUUCUUCUGGAUAACCGCAUGAAAGUGUGGCUAAUACGGGAUAUUCUGGUUCUUUCGCUUGAUGGUUCUGGGAAAGUUUUUGUUUCGGUGGGGGUUGGGCUCGCGGCCUAUCAGCUUGUUGGUGGGGUGAUGGCCUACCAAGGCGGUGACGGGUAGCCGGCCUGAGAGGGUGGACGGUCACACUGGGACUGAGACACGGCCCAGACUCCUACGGGAGGCAGCAGUGGGGAAUAGUGCACAAUGGGCGCAAGCCUGAUGCAGCGACGCCGCGUGAGGGAUGGAGGCCUUCGGGUUGUGAACCUCUUUCGCCAGUGAAGCAGGCCUGCCUCGUUUGUGGGUGGGUUGACGGUAGCUGGAUAAGAAGCGCCGGCUAACUACGUG